Molecule: ribosomal RNA, 254 nt
Filed under: uncultured bacterium
Lineage: Bacteria
Description: partial 16S ribosomal RNA
Rfam family: Bacterial small subunit ribosomal RNA
Source: RNAcentral
UACGUAGGGGGCGAGCGUUGUCCGGAUUUAUUGGGCGUAAAGAGCUCGUAGGCGGCUUGGCAAGUCGGGUGUGAAACCUCCAGGCUUAACCUGGAGACGCCACUCGAUACUGCCAUGGCUAGAGUCCGGUAGGGGACCACGGAAUUCCUGGUGUAGCGGUGAAAUGUGUAGAGAUCGGGAGGAACACCGGUGGCGAAGGCGGGUCUCUGGACAGUUCCUGACGCUGAGGCACGAAGGUCAGGGGAGCAAACGGG